This 465-nucleotide ribosomal RNA is filed under the name Vreelandella stevensii. RNAcentral describes it as "partial 16S ribosomal RNA". It matches the Rfam family "Bacterial small subunit ribosomal RNA", at positions 338 to 795 of the family's 1533-position model. The record is from RNAcentral. Lineage: Bacteria; Pseudomonadati; Pseudomonadota; Gammaproteobacteria; Oceanospirillales; Halomonadaceae.
CCUACGGGAGGCAGCAGUGGGGAAUAUUGGACAAUGGGGGGAACCCUGAUCCAGCCAUGCCGCGUGUGUGAAGAAGGCCCUCGGGUUGUAAAGCACUUUCAGUGAGGAAGAACGCCUGGUGGUUAAUACCCAUCAGGAAAGACAUCACUCACAGAAGAAGCACCGGCUAACUCCGUGCCAGCAGCCGCGGUAAUACGGAGGGUGCGAGCGUUAAUCGGAAUUACUGGGCGUAAAGCGCGCGUAGGUGACUUGAUAAGCCGGUUGUGAAAGCCCCGGGCUCAACCUGGGAACGGCAUCCGGAACUGUCAAGCUAGAGUGCAGGAGAGGAAGGUAGAAUUCCCGGUGUAGCGGUGAAAUGCGUAGAGAUCGGGAGGAAUACCAGUGGCGAAGGCGGCCUUCUGGACUGACACUGACACUGAGGUGCGAAAGCGUGGGUAGCAAACAGGAUUAGAUACCCGAGUAGUC